AACGAACGCUGGCGGCAUGCCUAACACAUGCAAGUCGAACGAAGGCUUCGGCCUUAGUGGCGCACGGGUGCGUAACGCGUGGGAAUCUGCCCUUUGGUUCGGAAUAACAGCUGGAAACGGCUGCUAAUACCGGAUGAUGACGAAAGUCCAAAGAUUUAUCGCCAGAGGAUGAGCCCGCGUUGGAUUAGGUAGUUGGUGGGGUAAAGGCCUACCAAGCCGACGAUCCAUAGCUGGUCUGAGAGGAUGAUCAGCCACACUGGGACUGAGACACGGCCCAGACUCCCACGGGAGGCAGCAGUGGGGAAUAUUGGACAAUGGGCGCAAGCCUGAUCCAGCAAUGCCGCGUGAGUGAUGAAGGCCCUAGGGUUGUAAAGCUCUUUUACCCGGGAAGAUAAUGACUGUACCGGGAGAAUAAGCCCCGGCUAACUCCGUG
Molecule: ribosomal RNA, 433 nt
Filed under: uncultured bacterium
Lineage: Bacteria
Description: partial 16S ribosomal RNA
Rfam family: Bacterial small subunit ribosomal RNA
Source: RNAcentral